GCUUGUUUGAGUGUCAAAUAUAAUACUUAUGUGUCCAGAAGCAUGUUGGCGGGGGAUAUCAAUUCAACGUAUUUGCUUGUAAAUAAAAAAUUAAACCAAUGGAAUUGGUUUUUAGGUAUCUGAGUGUGCAUUUUCAUACCAAUAGAAUUACACAUCAUUCUAAUUAUAGCAAUAAUAAAUUUGUACUAAUCAUACCAACAAAUUAAGUUAUGCUUUGUGCUUUGCGAUGUAUUCACUUCGUUUUUAGUUCUCUUUUGAAAGACCAUUUAACAACUUAAUAUUUAAAACAAUUCAUGAAUUACGUUCCCUAUACAUUUUCAUUAUGUGCUUUAAUUACCAUUGACCAGUUGACGGAAGAUACUGCAGAGUUUGGCAGGGAAAUAAUCCAACAGCAAAGCGGCUCUUUAAGCGCAUUUACCUAGAGGACUUACAGGGCCACAAAUUCAUGAGCACAUGUGAGCAGUAUACAAUGUACCUCAUACCAAAAAGGACCCGGAGGCAGUGACUGGUGUUCAAUAUUCUCAGAAGAAAAGGAAAAUGGCAGUGGAAGACUUGGACAAACAUUUUUAAAAACUAGCCUCUGUGUUAAGCCUGGCAGUCUGUGGCUGGUGACAUGUUUUAUUUUGGUUACUUCUUGUAUAAAAAAGACCAGUUAUUUAUUUUGUGAAUUGUA
Long non-coding RNA from Dreissena polymorpha, 673 nucleotides. RefSeq lists it as uncharacterized. NCBI's taxonomy places the organism in Eukaryota, Metazoa, Mollusca, Bivalvia, Myida, Dreissenidae. The transcript has 2 exons. The record is from RefSeq and is a predicted model, not a curated record.